This 1109-nucleotide long non-coding RNA is filed under the name Heterocephalus glaber (naked mole-rat). RNAcentral describes it as "lncRNA (ENSHGLG00000035072.1)". Lineage: Eukaryota; Metazoa; Chordata; Mammalia; Rodentia; Bathyergidae. The record is from RNAcentral.
CUUUGGGGAGUGACUGGAUCACAGGGAUCGAACUCAGGACCCCGCACUUGCAAGGGAGACGGUGGAACCACUGAGCCAAACCCCUGGCCCUAUUGCCCAUUUUUUGGAUGGAGCCUUCUAUUUUGGGGAAACUUUAAUUUUUUUAAUCCUUUAUAUUUUAGUCCUCUGAGGAGUAGCUGGUAAAAAUUUUUGGCCUUCUGUAGGUUGUUACCUCACUCUGUUGGUUGUUUCCAAGAUAUGAGAAGUUUUAAAAUUUAAUAUAGUCCCAUUUGUUGAUUGUUGGUAUUAUUUCUUGUGCAAUUCUGUUCUGUUCAGAAAGACCUUGCCUAUACAUAUGCCUUCAAGAGUUUUACAUAUUUUAUCUCCCAGAAGAUCCAAUGUUUCUGUUUCUAUAAUAGUUCUUUGGUCCAUUUUGAUUUGAUUUUAGUACAGGGUGAGAUAUAUGGGUCUAGAUUCACUCUUCUGCAUGUGGCAAAGCAUUUUUCCCGGCACCAUUUGCUAGAGAGGAUAUAUGUUCCCCAACGCAUGUUUUGACCCCUGUGUCAAAGAUCAGAUGCCUACCAGCUGCCAGUGUACCAGCGCAAGAGCCUGCAACAACAGCUCCCCCCUGCCCCCGCCCUGCCUCUGGCCUCCUGACUGUGCUACUACCCGGUUCCACACUACAGAGGCACAGGGGGACAUAAAGGCCAUUGUCCUGAGCUGCAGAAGUGAACAACAGAGAGAGGGCCUCUCUCAGGCUCCCUGAUGAAAACUGAAGCCCACUGGAAAAGUGAAGAGAAUCUCUGCAAUAAAGGCAAACCAGACCACCAUACUUGGUAAGUUGGAGGGAUCAUCACCUCCCAUUGGCACCUGGACUAUCUUCAGGGGAAGGGCAGAUGGAACCUGCAAUGGAACCUUGCAGAGUUCAACCCUGCAGGAGGACAGGGAGCUCACCUUGGGACUUGCAGCCAGAAAUCUGCCUGAAUCCCAUGGGUCUGUGACUGGCUUACUGAGACUCGUUGACUUGUAACUGCACACUGCUGCCCAUGUUGUCUAUUGUGACAGCAGAGACAUACCGUGAAGGAGGCCCUUCAUUUUUAUCUUUUAUUUGUUAUUUUCAAUAUUACCAC